CACGUAGGGUGCGAGCGUUGUCCGGAAUUAUUGGGCGUAAAGAGCUCGUAGGCGGUGUGUCGCGUCGACCGUGAAAACCUGCAGCUUAACUGUGGGCUUGCGGUCGAUACGGGCAUCACUGGAGUUCGGCAGGGGAGACUGGAAUUCCUGGUGUAGCGGUGAAAUGCGCAGAUAUCAGGAGGAACACCGGUGGCGAAGGCGGGUCUCUGGGCCGAUACUGACGCUGAGGAGCGAAAGCGUGGGUAGCAAACAGG
RNAcentral lists this ribosomal RNA (254 nucleotides) under uncultured bacterium. RNAcentral describes it as "partial 16S ribosomal RNA". It matches the Rfam family "Bacterial small subunit ribosomal RNA", at positions 524 to 776 of the family's 1533-position model. The record is from RNAcentral.